This 585-nucleotide ribosomal RNA is filed under the name uncultured bacterium. RNAcentral's name for it is "partial 16S ribosomal RNA". It matches the Rfam family "Bacterial small subunit ribosomal RNA", at positions 355 to 1375 of the family's 1533-position model. The record is from RNAcentral.
UGGGGAAUUUUGGACAAUGGGGGAAACCCUGAUCCAGCCAUCCCGCGUGUGCGAUGAAGGCCUUCGGGUUGUAAAGCACUUUUGGCAGGAAAGAAACGUCGCGGGUUAAUACCCCGCGGAACUGACGGUACCUGCAGAAUAAGCACCGGCUAACUACGUGCCAGCAGCCGCGGUAAUACGUAGGGUGCAAGCGUUAAUCGGAAUUACUGGGCGUAAAGCGUGCGCAGGCGGUUCGGAAAGAAAGAUGUGAAAUCCCAGAGCUUAACUUUGGAACUGCAUUUUUAACUACCGGGCUAGAGUGUGUCAGAGGGAGGUGGAAUUCCGCGUGUAGCGGUGAAAUGCGUAGAUAUGCGGAGGAACACCGAUGGCGAAGGCAGCCUCCUGGGAUAACACUGACGCUCAUGCACGAAAGCGUGGGGAGCAAACAGGAUUAGAUACCCUGGUAGUCCACGCCCUAAACGAUGUCAACUAGCUGUUGGGGUCUUCGGACCUUGGUAGCGCAGCUAACGCGUGAAGUUGACCGCCUGGGGAGUACGGUCGCAAGAUUAAAACUCAAAGGAAUUGACGGGGUCAUAGCUGUUUCCU